Molecule: ribosomal RNA, 468 nt
Filed under: uncultured bacterium
Lineage: Bacteria
Description: partial 16S ribosomal RNA
Rfam family: Bacterial small subunit ribosomal RNA
Source: RNAcentral
GACGAACGCUGGCGGCGUGCUUAACACAUGCAAGUCGAACGGAAAGGCCCUGCUUUUGUGGGGUGCUCGAGUGGCGAACGGGUGAGUAACACGUGAGUAACCUGCCCUUGACUUUGGGAUAACUUCAGGAAACUGGGGCUAAUACCGGAUAGGAGCUCCUGCUGCAUGGUGGGGGUUGGAAAGUUUCGGCGGUUGGGGAUGGACUCGCGGCUUAUCAGCUUGUUGGUGGGGUAGUGGCUUACCAAGGCUUUGACGGGUAGCCGGCCUGAGAGGGUGACCGGCCACAUUGGGACUGAGAUACGGCCCAGACUCCUACGGGAGGCAGCAGUGGGGAAUAUUGCACAAUGGGCGGAAGCCUGAUGCAGCAACGCCGCGUGCGGGAUGACGGCCUUCGGGUUGUAAACCGCUUUCGCCUAUGACGAAGCGUGAGUGACGGUAAUGUGUAAAGAAGCACCGGCUAACUACGUG